GAUGAACGCUGGCGGCGUGCCUAAUACAUGCAAGUCGAGCGAACAGACGAGGAGCUUGCUCCUCUGACGUUAGCGGCGGACGGGUGAGUAACACGUGUAUAACCUACCUAUAAGACUGGGAUAACUUCGGGAAACCGGCGCUAAUACCGGAUAAUAUAUUGAACCGCAUGGUUCAAUAGUGAAAGACGGUUUUGCUGUCACUUAUAGAUGGAUCCGCGCCGCAUUAGCUAGUUGGUAAGGUAACGGCUUACCAAGGCGGCGAUGCGUAGCCGAGCUGAGAGGGUGAUAGGCCACACUGGAACUGGACCACCGACCAGACUCCUACGGGAGGCACCAGUAGGGAAUCUUACGCAAUAGGCGAAAGCCUGACAGAGCAACGCCGCGCGAGUGAUAAAGGUCUUCGGAUCGUAAUGAUCUGUUAUUAGGGAUAAACAAAUGUGUAAGUAACUAUGCACGUCUUGACGGUACCUAAUCAGAAAGCCACGGCUAACUACGUG
This 497-nucleotide ribosomal RNA is filed under the name uncultured bacterium. RNAcentral's name for it is "partial 16S ribosomal RNA". It matches the Rfam family "Bacterial small subunit ribosomal RNA", at positions 28 to 507 of the family's 1533-position model. The record is from RNAcentral.